Molecule: long non-coding RNA, 423 nt
Organism: Musca domestica (house fly)
Lineage: Eukaryota; Metazoa; Arthropoda; Insecta; Diptera; Muscidae
Exons: 2
Source: RefSeq, a predicted model, not a curated record
GUUCAAACUAUUUGUGCUCUUAGAAAAUAAAAAAAAAGAAUAUUUCCGUAGCCCUAUUUUUUAUGGAGGAGGUUCGAAAUGUGCCACGGAGGCAUUUAAGAGAUGCUUCGAAUUUAUUUGAAGUACCUAACAACCAGUUUGUGGCCAACUUUCGUGUGUCGAAGGAAGUUUUCGGGCUCUUUUGGAUAUGAUGGAAGAGAAGUGGGUGCCCGGUUGCAGAACUACCCAAAUCCGCCCCGAUUUAAAACUUCUUCUGCUGCUUCCAAAAAAUGGCAUUCCUCUGGCGAACACAGGAUUCUCCUCCAUUUACUCAACUAGUGCCCGCAGCUGUGUAGUUGAUGAUUUUUUCGUGCUGGAAUUGAGAAAAUAAAAAAAUAUAUAUUUGUUGUUCACAUAUUAAAUUGCAUUUAUUAUUUUUACUUA